UCAAAAAAUAUAUUUUUAUAUUUGCAACUAUCCACAUACACACACAAUCUUAAUGCUUUUCACUCGGUUUUUCACUCUGCUCUCCUGUGGAUCUCUGCCCUACGUCCUCGCUACGUCUCUCUCGCUCUCGCUCAACAUCUGCUCUCUGCACACGCUCAAAUCUGCCUUCACGCUCGCUCAGCUCUGCACGGCGUUACAAAUGUGCCACAAUUCCAGCCAAUCACAGACUUCUGAUUCUAUCCAAUCGGGUCCCUGUUUCGGCCGCCUCUCGGAAGCGCUGUUAAAAACGAUCGCUAAAUCAACUGGAGUUCUGCUAUAUACGCUGGACUACGACAGAUUUUCGAGCCACUGGACCCUCGUUUAAUUAGCCAAGAUUAGCAAAGCUGUACCAUGUCGGAUCCUGAACGACAACACAACGGUGCACCACAUCCACAUGUCUUGUACUUGGAUGCUGCAACAAAUAACAGAGCACAAACUGCAUUCUCAUUCUUCAUCACAUCGGUCCAGCUUCAUGGCUUACCGUCAAGGGUUAGGGCAGAUCAGGAAGUAGAAAACCUGGAUAUUGCACAUUUCAUGUUUGCCACACGAGGAACAGGAAGAUCGAGCUUCAUCUCUGGAAAAAGUACCAUGACAUUCUUCACUCUCUGGAAGAGGAUGGUCUACUUGACAUAUCUGAUGCCACUCUUCUCUUUGGUGUGCACUACGUCUUUGUCCCCGACUCUGGGCAGAUCUUGAUACCUUUAUUGAAGGAUGGAAUAAUCAUUCUCUGCGGACAGAGGGAGGUCUCACCCCUGAACAGCUGUGGUGCAUGGGACGUCUACAAGAUCUGGAUGAGGGGGAGAGACUCGAGGUACAAUAUGAUGUAAAAACAAGUAGGACAUGUAUUUUAAGAAGUUGAUUGUAAGACUGAGCAGUACGUAUCUGCUACGCAUUCUGAUAGAUUAGACUAUUACAGACUGUAGUUUACAAAGCCCACAUAUUUUCAUAAAAUGAAGAGUACUGUACUGUUUAUAAGGCCUGAAUCAGGAAAUAUGUCAUGAUUUGUGGGAUGAUCCUGAUUUUUUUUUUCGU
Acanthochromis polyacanthus (spiny chromis) is the source of this 1071-nucleotide long non-coding RNA. RefSeq lists it as uncharacterized. The record is from RefSeq and is a predicted model, not a curated record. Lineage: Eukaryota; Metazoa; Chordata; Actinopteri; Pomacentridae. The transcript is spliced from 4 exons.